AGUGCAGUAGUCUAUAGCACCAGGGAUGGGCGAAAGAGACAGGAUGGAGUUGACACACACAACAUGACCAUUUUGCAGUUCCAGCAUACGAGGCAAGAAGGCUUUUGUGGUCUGUGGAUGAAAAUAUUAUUAAAAGCUCCACGCACGGCGAACUCCUUAGCCAGGUGACGGCCGAUGCCCCGUCCGCCACCAGUGAUAAGUACCACGUCUCCGGUCAGAUCUCUCCGCCUGCUCGCCCGCAGUGCUCAGACUCAGGCAGAGGAAGGAUUCCUGCAGACCAGUGCACCUCCAGAACAUGGAGACCUUUGUAAAUGGCUCUUUAACUCACACAGUAAACCCAGGAGCCGCUGUGGAGAUUCCAGACUGUGAUUUUUGGCCUGGCCUCUGCUUCUACUGCUUAAAGCUGAAUGAAGGGCUGCUCAGACUGGACUGGGUCAAAAUGCAGGCUCACAAAGACUGCUUUGUGCUAUGCUGUGCCUUUUAGUAAUGGCCCAGCAACUCUCAGAAAGUUUAAUAGUUGUCUGGUAGGUGGAAAAAAAAUGUUUCACUUGAUUUUGGGCUUUUCUGGAUCUGUUUAUCAAAAACAUGCCUAAAAUCACAGAUGCUCACUUAAUUUUCUUAUGUUGCACAAUAUUGUACAACCAUUUUUCUCUGUUUUUAUUUGAUGGUUUUAUUUUAUCUUACACAUUUUGUUGUGGAGAUAUAGCAGCAUGAUGAUGCCUAACAAAAAGGCUUUCUCUUUUCAGUUAGAGUGUCACUGCCAUCUACAGAUCCAACAGCGAAAGUUCACUAAAUCUGAUGAAUUCUCAGUGGUAGCCAUAGUGCAAACAUUGUCUGUCAUGGAAGAUAGUUUUAUCAUUUGCAUUUGCAUAGUAAUAGGAUUAAAGGAACCGAGUUAGUUUCCAGUUGAUGAAUAUGAGUGUUUUGUCUUCACUAAAGCUGUGCCACCAUCAGUUAUCUCUUAUGUAAACAUUCAGCCAGCAUAUUUUCAUGUGCAUUGUUGAAAUACUAAUUAGCUUAUCUGGUCAGUUAGAACACACCUAGUGGGCAUUAGUCAGGGUUGGCAGAUUUCAUUUGUAUUGUGGUCAGACUUUACAUCUGCUUGGAUACUAUAAAUUCAUACAGUACCAUAUGCUUUUACUAGGGCUGUUACCAGCAUUGGGGAGUAACUAGUUAUAUGUAACUGUGCUACAGUAUGUAAUUUAAUUACAAAAUAAAUGUAACUGUAAUCCUUUAUGGUUACUGAUAAAAAAAAAAAAUGUCUAAUUGAAUGACAGUU
Molecule: long non-coding RNA, 1279 nt
Organism: Cyprinus carpio (common carp)
Lineage: Eukaryota; Metazoa; Chordata; Actinopteri; Cypriniformes; Cyprinidae
Exons: 3
Source: RefSeq, a predicted model, not a curated record